CCUACGGGAGGCAGCAGUGAGGAAUAUUGGUCAAUGGACGAGAGUCUGAACCAGCCAAGUAGCGUGAAGGAUGACUGCCCUAUGGGUUGUAAACUUCUUUUAUAUGGGAAUAAAACAGGGUAUGCAUACCCUCUUGUAUGUACCACAUGAAUAAGGAUCGGCUAAUUCCGUGCCAGCAGCCGCGGUAAUACGGAGGAUCCGAGCGUUAUCCGGAUUUAUUGGGUUUAAAGGGAGCGUAGGUAGAUUGUUAAGUCAGUUGUGAAAGGUUGCGGCUCAACCGUAGAAUUGCAGUUGAAACUGGCUGUCUUGAGUGCAGUAGAGGUAUGCGGAAUUCGUGGUGUAGCGGUGAAAUGCUUAGAUAUCACGAAGAACUCCGAUUGCGAAGGCAGCUCACGGGAGUGCUACUGACGCUGAUGCUCGAAGGUGUGGGUAUCGAACAGGAUUAGAUACCCGUGUAGUC
Molecule: ribosomal RNA, 460 nt
Filed under: uncultured bacterium
Lineage: Bacteria
Description: partial 16S ribosomal RNA
Rfam family: Bacterial small subunit ribosomal RNA
Source: RNAcentral